GCCUGGGUGGCCGAGUGGUUGUAGGCGCUACAGUCUGGAACACUACGGUCGCAGGUUCGAAUCCUGCCUCGGGCA
RNAcentral lists this transfer RNA (75 nucleotides) under Schistocerca americana (American grasshopper). Its description in RNAcentral is "tRNA-Ser". It matches the Rfam family "tRNA". Rfam says of the family: Transfer RNA (tRNA) molecules are approximately 80 nucleotides in length. Their secondary structure includes four short double-helical elements and three loops (D, anti-codon, and T loops). The record is from RNAcentral. Lineage: Eukaryota; Metazoa; Arthropoda; Insecta; Orthoptera; Acrididae.